Molecule: long non-coding RNA, 344 nt
Filed under: Spirodela polyrhiza (greater duckweed)
Lineage: Eukaryota; Viridiplantae; Streptophyta; Magnoliopsida; Alismatales; Araceae
Description: long non-coding RNA (SPOL_LNC002043)
Source: RNAcentral
AAAGUUGUUCAAUGAGACUUUCUCUUUAAACUAGUCACAUGGAAAUAGUGUCUCACAUUAUCUAAACUAGUCAAAGAAUGCAUACCAUGGUACUUGCUAAAAAUAUACUAGUUUGUUCAAAAGUCUUAAUAAUAGAUUGAAUUUAGUGACUAGCUUAGACACAAUGUAUGAAAAAUAAUAUUAACUUUCGUUAACAAAAAUUAACGUAUAAAAUCAAUGACUAGGUGCUACUAUAGAUAUACUCUAUGGAUGAGCAAAAUGAACAAUUACAUAAUAUGAUAGAGCAUUUAAGAGAAUGACAAGAGUUAAAAGGCUAACCUACUAUUUACAAUCAUCUUGAGGAC